Pan troglodytes (chimpanzee) is the source of this 2130-nucleotide long non-coding RNA. RefSeq lists it as uncharacterized. NCBI's taxonomy places the organism in Eukaryota, Metazoa, Chordata, Mammalia, Primates, Hominidae. The record is from RefSeq and is a predicted model, not a curated record. The transcript has 3 exons.
AGUCACCAUGACAACCUGCGGGGGUAGAAGGACAGCUCAAAGCACCCCUCAGAUGAGAGCCAGGACAGGGACCGGAAGACAUUGUGGUUCUCACAAGUGCAGCAGAUGAAGGGGGGACUCCCUUCCUCUGUCUGAGCAGUGAACUAGAGAUGGGUGUGAGGGGUGGGGCCCAGGGCUGGUGAGGUCAAGGUCUUGGGCUGCUGAAGGAAAUUGGCUUUGUUCUUUUCUGACUUCAUGUUUUGGUUGUCCCUGGCCAGUCCAGCUGGUAGAUGUCUGGAUACAUGGCAAAACCAGAGCACAGCAAAUCCAUCUAGUUCUGGAUAGAGGGUGGGGCAGGGAGGAGGAAGCAGCAUCCCCCUGAAAGAUGACCCAAGUGCCUUUCACAGGAGUUAGCCCACCUCUCCCAGGAUGGUGGAGGCAAGAGCUUGCUGAAAAGUUGAAGCAGAAGAAAGCCCUGAUCCCUGUGAUGGCACGUCCUGGCUAAUCUAAUCAGUAGAUUUUGUGGUGUGAGGCCAGAGGCCUGCUACACCCUCCCUGACCCCCGUGUUUGCUGACUCCUACUGGAGCCUGCCUGACACGGGUGGAUCUGGGGACCUCUGUGUUCAGCCCAUAGCUGGUUUCCUGCAGAGCUGGGCCAGGAGGCUUGCCCAUCUCCUUCCUUCCUCCUGGGCUCUCUCAUCCAUCUGCUGACCUGGGCUUCCUGGCUCCCUGUCCAGUGCUCUUACUCCCACUAUUCCAUGGUUGCAUUAUUCAGAGAAACAGCUUGUGCCUUCACUGUAGUCUUCAUCCAGGAGGACCAGGAAGGAACAGAGCAGCACUGACAUCUGCCAGUCCCUGGGGUCAAGUGGCUUAAAAAAGGCACAGAUGUGACCUAAAUCCUGAUCACCGUGCUGGGGGCUCUCCUUGUGAAGACCGCAUCUUAGGGGACAGCCAGCCAUCUCGUUCCCUGAGGAUGUGCUGCCGUGGAUGCUGCUGUGAGUAUCACUAUUGCCAUUGUUAUGGAAACCAUUUACAAGCACCUGCUAUGCGCCAGGAAGAAGAGCUGGAAGGACUAACAGGCUCCGGUGGCCACCCUACAACCAGAAAACAGACACCUGACAAUGUAUUGUCAGAUGAUGGAUUAGCCAAGCCUGGGGAAGAGAGCUGAGUGUACAGCUUCCCUCCCAGUCUCCUGGGUGACAAAACCGCUGGAUGAUCCCGCCAACAAUAAUGAGAUGAAAAUGAAGAACACUGCAGUAUAAUGAGCAUGAUAAAAAUAGAGAUGUUGCUAAAUAAUGGGUCGGCCAUGGCUGAGGAGCAGGAGAAAGAGCCAAGCCCAAAGGAGGUGGAUAAGGCCUUCCUGUGUGGUCUCCAAGCCUGACCCCCUGAUGUGUUGCUGUUGCUCAACCAGGCCAUAGAUGGUUUUGAGUCCCUAGUGUGGCAAAGAUGUCAGAGAGGGACUAGAGGGUGGGCCUAAGUGAAAAUCCCCAGCAGGCUCUAUCCUGGUCACUGUGGCUCUGACCUCCACCAGGGGAGGGACAAAAGUGUGGUAAGCACACAUGCUGAUGGUGGUUAUGAAUUACUGCCUUUAGUAGGAACUUCUUGCCUGCCAAUGAGUAUCAGCAAAUGGUCUGAGUUAAUGCAUCAAAGUUUUUCAGAACAUUGCACCUCUCAUCUACAUAGUGCAGAGUGGAAGAAGCCUGUUAAUUAUGCUUUUGUUUGUAUUUUUGCUUAGUUGGUAGCUUGGAGUAUCUGCCAGCAGAGGCAGCUGCCCCUAGGGAGGGAGGUACCUGGGUGCUAGAGGGAUGGCUGCCUGUAAAGAUUUCUGGCACCAAGCCUCUCUGCAGUUUUUGUUUUUUAUUUUUUAAAUAAUUAAAUUAAGACUUAUUUUUGAAUAAGUAAUAUCUACAUAGAGUACAAAAUUUAAAAGGAACAAAAGGGGUGCAGGAAACAUACAUAUCCAUUCUUCUCCCCCUAUUCCCAGCCACCCAUUUUCCUUCCCUCGAGGCAACCACUGUUACUAGUUUCUUCUGCAGUUUUCCAGAGAUAUUCUAAGCAUAAAUAAGUGCAUGUACCUCAACCUGCAAACAUACCAGUUUUUUUUUUAAAAACACAAAUGUUAACGUACUGUAUCAACAAGAGUCCUGACAG